RNAcentral lists this ribosomal RNA (2228 nucleotides) under Listeria monocytogenes. RNAcentral describes it as "partial 23S ribosomal RNA". It matches the Rfam family "Bacterial large subunit ribosomal RNA", at positions 411 to 2637 of the family's 2925-position model. Lineage: Bacteria; Bacillati; Bacillota; Bacilli; Caryophanales; Listeriaceae. The record is from RNAcentral.
AGUACGGCGGAACACGUGAAAUUCCGUCGGAAUCCGGGAGGACCAUCUCCCAAGGCUAAAUACUCCCUAGUGACCGAUAGUGAACCAGUACCGUGAGGGAAAGGUGAAAAGCACCCCGGAAGGGGAGUGAAACAGUUCCUGAAACCGUGUGCCUACAAGUAGUUAGAGCCCGUUAAUGGGUGAUAGCGUGCCUUUUGUAGAAUGAACCGGCGAGUUACGAUUUGUUGCAAGGUUAAGCGGAAAAAGCGGAGCCGUAGCGAAAGCGAGUCUGAAUAGGGCGCAUAAGUAACAGGUCGUAGACCCGAAACCAGGUGAUCUACCCAUGUCCAGGAUGAAGGUAAGGUAAUACUUACUGGAGGUCCGAACCCACGCACGUUGAAAAGUGCGGGGAUGAGGUGUGGGUAGCGGAGAAAUUCCAAUCGAACUUGGAGAUAGCUGGUUCUCUCCGAAAUAGCUUUAGGGCUAGCCUCGAGGUAAAGAGUCAUGGAGGUAGAGCACUGUUUGGACUAGGGGCCCUUCUCGGGUUACCGAAUUCAGAUAAACUCCGAAUGCCAUGUACUUAUACUCGGGAGUCAGACUGCGAGUGAUAAGAUCCGUAGUCGAAAGGGAAACAGCCCAGACCACCAGUUAAGGUCCCCAAAUAUAUGUUAAGUGGAAAAGGAUGUGGGGUUGCUUAGACAACCAGGAUGUUGGCUUAGAAGCAGCCACCAUUGAAAGAGUGCGUAAUAGCUCACUGGUCGAGUGACCCCGCGCCGAAAAUGUACCGGGGCUAAACAUAUUACCGAAACUGUGGAUGAACCUCUUUAGAGGUUCGUGGUAGGAGAGCGUUCUAAGGGCGGUGAAGUCAGACCGGAAGGACUGGUGGAGCGCUUAGAAGUGAGAAUGCCGGUAUGAGUAGCGAAAGAAGGGUGAGAAUCCCUUCCACCGAAUAUCUAAGGUUUCCUGAGGAAGGCUCGUCCGCUCAGGGUUAGUCGGGACCUAAGCCGAGGCCGAUAGGCGUAGGCGAUGGACAACAGGUAGAGAUUCCUGUACCAGUGCUAAUUGUUUAACCGAUGGGGUGACACAGAAGGAUAGGGAAUCGCACGAAUGGAAAUGUGCGUCCAAGCAGUGAGUGUGAGAAGUAGGCAAAUCCGCUUCUCGCGAAGCAUGAGCUGUGAUGGGGAAGGAAAUUAAGUACGGAAGUUCCUGAUUUCACGCUGUCAAGAAAAGCCUCUAGGAAGAGUAGUACUGCCCGUACCGCAAACCGACACAGGUAGAUGAGGAGAGAAUCCUAAGGUGAGCGAGAGAACUCUCGUUAAGGAACUCGGCAAAAUGACCCCGUAACUUCGGGAGAAGGGGUGCUCUAUUAGGGUGCAAGCCCGAGAGAGCCGCAGUGAAUAGGCCCAGGCGACUGUUUAGCAAAAACACAGGUCUCUGCAAAACCGUAAGGUGACGUAUAGGGGCUGACGCCUGCCCGGUGCUGGAAGGUUAAGAGGAGUGCUUAGCUUCGGCGAAGGUACGAAUUGAAGCCCCAGUAAACGGCGGCCGUAACUAUAACGGUCCUAAGGUAGCGAAAUUCCUUGUCGGGUAAGUUCCGACCCGCACGAAAGGCGCAACGAUCUGGGCACUGUCUCAACGAGAGACUCGGUGAAAUUAUAGUACCUGUGAAGAUGCAGGUUACCCGCGACAGGACGGAAAGACCCCGUGGAGCUUUACUGCAACCUGAUAUGGAAUGUUUGUACCGCUUGUACAGGAUAGGUAGGAGCCGAAGAGACGUGUGCGCUAGCAUACGAGGAGGCAAUGGUGGGAUACUACCCUGGCUGUAUGACCAUUCUAACCCGCCACGCUUAGCGCGUGGGGAGACAGUGUCAGGUGGGCAGUUUGACUGGGGCGGUCGCCUCCUAAAGAGUAACGGAGGCGCCCAAAGGUUCCCUCAGAAUGGAUGGAAAUCAUUCGCAGAGUGUAAAGGCACAAGGGAGCUUGACUGCGAGACUGACAAGUCGAGCAGGGACGAAAGUCGGGCUUAGUGAUCCGGUGGUUCCGCAUGGAAGGGCCAUCGCUCAACGGAUAAAAGCUACCCCGGGGAUAACAGGCUUAUCUCCCCCAAGAGUCCACAUCGACGGGGAGGUUUGGCACCUCGAUGUCGGCUCGUCGCAUCCUGGGGCUGUAGUCGGUCCCAAGGGUUGGGCUGUUCGCCCAUUAAAGCGGCACGCGAGCUGGGUUCAGAACGUCGUGAGACAGUUCGGUCC